CUGCCAAUAAUUUGGAGUACAGAAAUAUUUGAGGACUGAGUUUAAUUGCACAGACAGGCAGGACCUAAUUACCAAAUUAGUUGGCAGCUUACUCCCCAAUUUUCAGAUAAGCAGAGUUCAAGACAAAACCACUCUCCCUGUAAUCUCCUGACCUUUCACAACUGAUGCUUCUAAUUCCCACCAACUCAUGUAAUCUAAAUGCUCUGCUCUGGCACUCAGUCUUACCCAGUUCCCCAAACUUCUUGCUCUCCUGUCCCUUGCUCUUUCAUUUCCUGAUACUACUAGUCACUACUCUUUUUUUGGGGAAACUACUUGCUUAGCUCUUAUGUCCUGACCUUCAGUUAUCCUGUUGUCAACUCACUUAUAUUAUUUCUUGUUUCCUCCCAAGUAGCAUUUCAUUAUAAUCAGCAUUUUCACAUUUGCAUUAGCAUAUUUUUUAUAAAGAAGAAAAAGGGGAACAUGAGCAUAACAUAUUCCUAAGGGGGAGAAUUCAUCCCAAAGAUUUAAUCAAUCACUCUAAAGUACUUAAAGCAGAUUUAUACUUGUCACUGGACUAGGUAGUCAAGAUUGAAAUGGCUCCUUUCAUGAAGAAUUUAGUUUAUAGGUUGUCGCUAAAGUAAUUUCUAAUGCUUUUAAUGACAAUAGAAGUUUCCUAAAACAUUCUCAAGUAAUUACAUCCUGGGGACCAUACUCCAGUCAACUUUGAGGCAGAAAAAGGCUAUUAUGUCCAAGAGCUUACCACCAGAUCACACAUGUUUUUCAUCUAAUAGAAUUCUUCUAAUGUUUUCCUUUCUUCAAAUGGUUUUCAUUAAUAAAAAUCCUCUAUAGAGCAAUAAGAUGUGGUCUCUACCAGGCUUUUUCUACAUCAUUAGGUUUCUGUUACCUAUUAGAAUAAGUCCUGCUUGGAGAUUUUCUCUCAUUUCCAGGUUCCUUUCCAAUGGGAAGUUUCUGAUGUUUAAGAGCUGUGUGCCCAUUGAAGGCCUUUCCACAGCUGCGACAUUCAAAGAGUUUCUCUCCAGUGUGAAUUAUCUGGUGACGAAAUAAAGUGUGAAUUCUGACUGAAGGCCUUCCCACAAUCAAGGCACUCAUAGGAUUUCUCUCCAGUAAGAACACAAUAGUGUUUAAUAAGAUCUGAGCUUCCCUAACAUAUUUCCCACAUUCAUUGCAUAUGUAAGUUUUUUCUCCACUAUGAAUUCUAUAUCUCAUAAGGUCUGAGCCCUGAUGGAAAGUUUUCCCACAUUCUUUACAUUCAUAUGGUUUCUCUCCCAUAUGAGUUAAAUGACGAGUGAUGAGGUUUGAUCUGCCUUAGAAAGUUCUACCACACUGAUAAGCUUUCUCUUCUUGGUGAAUUCUUUGCUCUUCUCUAAACAACUCAUCCUUACUGAAUGUUUUCUUACUUUCUUUCAUUUUCUCUCAAGUAUGACACUUUUGAUGUUUGAGAAAAGCUGUGUGCCAGAUAAAUGGUUUUCCACAUGCCUUACAUUCAUAGGGUUUGGAUUCUCAGAUAUUGAUUAAGGUGUGAACGCUGCUGGAAGACUUUCCCUCAUUCUUUGCACUGAUAGGGUUUCUCUCCAGUAUGAAUUUUCUGAUGUGUAACAAGAUUUCUUUUCCCCACACAGAGAUGUGUCCCAGUGCCCAGGAUUAUCGAGGGAGUGCCUCUGUAGCUUCUUCUUGGAUCACGUGUCCAACCCUGGGCCAAUCCCUGUUUCCGGGGAAUGGGGUGCUUUGAUUGGCCAGCUGGAUUUACAUGUUGGAAUGUGGGAAGGGAGCCUUUACUACAAGGGCCCAUAAGCCGAUGGCAAGAAAAGACAUUUUUGUUUGUUAGGUAUUAUUUUUACCAGAAAAACGAGACAGCUCUUUGGACAGGCAAAGUAGCAGAUGUCUACUCCGAGGGGCUGUAGGGGAAGAGAGUUACUGGCAGCAGGAGCUACAUGUGCCAGGUCCUGCGCCAGCUGACAGGUCGCCUAAGAAACUGAAGACCAAUGUAGGUGGUCAACAAGAGGGGUGCAGGGUGGCAUGAGAUGAGCUUGGAAAGAUCAGACCACAGAAUAUUUGGAAAACCAUCGGUAGACUUUUUGGCCAUAUCCCAAGGGCAAAAGGAGGUGUUAGGGGUUAAAUGGGGCUGGGAAAGUGAGGAGAGGGAGCUAGACCCUAGAAACUGCGAGAGAGAAUGAAAUGAUUGUUGUGUUAAGCCAGUAAAUGGGUUAUGUAGCAACGGAUAAACAAGAACGUGAAGCAUCUGUCAUUAUUAUGUAUUUCCUCUGCCAUGUUCUCAAUCGUCAGUGGCUUUGCUUGUGAUUCAAGCAAUUUCCCCCACCGCUUUUAUGAACUGUGUGGAAACCCUUCUUCCUUUGUUGCAAGAUUUGCAGUUUUACUUUGAAAUAAAUUUUCCUUGCACAGUAUUUUUAUUUUUAUCAUACAACGUUUACAUCGCCGGAGGGGACCAACAUGAAUAUUAAGUGCGGAGGGAUUUUUGCAAGGGGACUAAUUGGAAGUUGAUGGGUGAAUAUUUUCAUGUUUUGAUGAAUUUUCCCUAUCCAGGCUCAUAAAUGUGGAGAUGUAGCUAAUGAGUAUUUGAAAAUUGAGCCAUGUUUAGGGCAGGUGUGCUUGGUUGCAAUAGACAGUGAGGAAACUUGAUUCCCUUCACUGUCAGAGUGAUGGUUUUAGGUUGCCCUUGAAAGCUUCUCAAUAAUCCAUGGCCCCUUUCGUAAUAGUUAUUAAUGUCCCUGAAUCACAGAGAUAAAAGGCACUGUAAGAUCAUAAUCUUGUAUCUUU
Long non-coding RNA from Pipistrellus kuhlii (Kuhl's pipistrelle), 2775 nucleotides. RefSeq lists it as uncharacterized. The transcript is spliced from 2 exons. The record is from RefSeq and is a predicted model, not a curated record. Lineage: Eukaryota; Metazoa; Chordata; Mammalia; Chiroptera; Vespertilionidae.